This 482-nucleotide ribosomal RNA is filed under the name uncultured bacterium. RNAcentral's name for it is "partial 16S ribosomal RNA". It matches the Rfam family "Bacterial small subunit ribosomal RNA", at positions 30 to 507 of the family's 1533-position model. The record is from RNAcentral.
AUUGAACGCUGGCGGCAUGCCUUACACAUGCAAGUCGAACGGUAACAGGUCUUCGGAUGCUGACGAGUGGCGAACGGGAGAGUAAUACAUCGGAACGUGCCCGAUCGUGGGGGAUAACGAAGCGAAAGCUUUGCUAAUACCGCAUACGAUCUACGGAUGAAAGCGGGGGAUCUUCGGACCUCGCGCGGACGGAGCGGCCGAUGGCAGAUUAGGUAGUUGGUGGGAUAAAAGCUUACCAAGCCGACGAUCUGUAGCUGGUCUGAGAGGAUGAUCAGCCACACUGGGACUGAGACACGGCCCAGACUCCUACGGGAGGCAGCAGUGGGGAAUUUUGGACAAUGGGCGCAAGCCUGAUCCAGCCAUGCCGCGUGCAGGAUGAAGGCCUUCGGGUUGUAAACUGCUUUUGUACGGAACGAAAAGGUGCCUUCUAAUAAAGGGCGCUCAUGACGGUACCGUAAGAAUAAGCACCGGCUAACUACGUG